This 386-nucleotide transfer-messenger RNA is filed under the name Vibrio zhanjiangensis. It matches the Rfam family "transfer-messenger RNA". Rfam says of the family: Bacterial tmRNA, also known as 10Sa RNA or SsrA, is named for its dual tRNA and mRNA-like properties. Its role is to liberate the mRNA from a stalled ribosome. The record is from RNAcentral. Lineage: Bacteria; Pseudomonadati; Pseudomonadota; Gammaproteobacteria; Vibrionales; Vibrionaceae.
GGGGCUGAUUUAGGAUUCGACAGGAAUUUUGCAGUCUAAGGUGCAUGCCGUGGGGCGGUUGGCCACGUAAAAAGCCGCAAAAAAAUAGUCGCAAACGACGACUUUAUCGGUUCAGAACGCCUAGCGGCGUAAUUCUAGUCUAAACCACUAGCUGACCUCUCUCGCCCUAGCUUCCGCACGUAAGACGGGGAACAACGAGGGAUCAAACCCAAACGCGCUAGCCCGGAUUCUCCCGCCUGAGAGAUGAACGGCGAAAUUUAAUUCAGGCUAGUCAUUCGUUCGCGUGUCGGUUCGCAGGUGGGUGGCGAAAUUAAAGAUCGACUAAGCAUGUAGUACCGAAGAUGAAUGGUUUUUGGACGCGGGUUCAACUCCCGCCAGCUCCACCA